GAUGAAGAACGCAGUGAAAUGCGAUAAGUAAUGUGAAUUGCAGAAUUCAGUGAAUCAUCGAAUCUUUGAACGCACAUUGCGCCCAUUAGUAUUCUAGUGGGCAUGCCUGUUCGAGCGUCAUUAAGUCCACUUAAGCCCUGCUUAGUGUUGGGAGACUGCUCCAGCGGUGCUACCCUGUAGCUACCCUGCAGCUCCUCAAAGACAGCGGCGGAGUUGUGGUAUCCUCUGAGCUUAGUAACUUGUUCUAGCUUUCGAGUACACCACUUCCCCUGCCGUAAAACCCUUAAUUUUUAAUGGUUGACCUCGGAUCAGGUAGGAAUACCCGCUGAACUUAAGCAUAUCAAUAAGCGGAGGA
This 355-nucleotide unclassified non-coding RNA is filed under the name soil metagenome. Its description in RNAcentral is "partial contains 5.8S ribosomal RNA, internal transcribed spacer 2, and large subunit ribosomal RNA". The stretch from base 1 to 120 matches the Rfam family "5.8S ribosomal RNA", at positions 35 to 154 of the family's 154-position model. The record is from RNAcentral.